AUGUGGAAAGCAAGUUCUAGGCAAAAUCCUUGACAGUCUGUCAAAAUGACAAAGAACCAAAGAUCCUCGGCACAGAAAGAACAUCUUUAGUCUUUUGCUGAGAGUGGUGCCUGAAGUUCUUUCAUGAAUGGGUGAUUCCAUUCCUUGGUUUUGGUGAAUAGAGCUGCAAUAAACACGGACAUGCGGGUAUUCACAUGGGGUGAAAGAAAGAGAAAAUAUUGAAUGAUGAAUUCCAGAGAAGCAAAGAACACCCAAAAAGAAUGGUGAUUUUAAAAGCCAUGUUACCUGUAUUGCAAGGAACAUUUAACUAUUCAAAAAUAUCCAGCUACUGGAUAAUAUUGCCUGGCCAUCAG
Molecule: long non-coding RNA, 353 nt
Filed under: Cricetulus griseus (Chinese hamster)
Lineage: Eukaryota; Metazoa; Chordata; Mammalia; Rodentia; Cricetidae
Description: lncRNA (ENSCGRG00015039719.1)
Source: RNAcentral